Long non-coding RNA from Catharus ustulatus (Swainson's thrush), 6265 nucleotides. RefSeq lists it as uncharacterized. The record is from RefSeq and is a predicted model, not a curated record. The transcript is spliced from 5 exons. Lineage: Eukaryota; Metazoa; Chordata; Aves; Passeriformes; Turdidae.
CAUCCAGUUGAGAAUGAUGAAUGUGCAGUGGGAGUGGUGACACUUGAGGGAAAAGGAUGGGAGCUGUUACCAGGAAACUCUUGACCUGUGUGCAUGCAAGGAAAGGAACUGACUGCCUUCAAAGAGAAGAGAAGGACAGGAGGAGGAAGAGAAUGGAUAGUCUUGCUACUCCCAUUGCCUUUUAUCAGAACUGCAGUGUGUUUCCCAAGCAGAGAAAGGAGACAGCAAAUUGGUGAUUGUGAGAAAUCAAUUGCUUUUACUUCAUGAUGCAACUCCAAAAUAAUUUUGUGGAAAUAUAAUACUGGUGGAUUUGCUUUGGAGAGGAAAAAAAUACUAUUUGAGAAGAAGGUUACUUGCCUGACCAGAAGAAUUAUUGAGGGAACCCCAUUUUAAAAGAGCUGGAUGCCUAAGCCUGAAUUAAUAAACUAGGAACUGCUGUUGAAGUAAUGCAAGGAAUUUCUGAAGCAAAGACAGAGGAGAUCUUGGCAAAACAAGAAGGAGUAACAGGAGUGUAUAUGAAAAAAUGUAUGGGGAUGUAGAAGCAUGGAUAAGGAGCAGCAACCACUGACUGGACCAUCAGGCACAAUCCAGAACAUGUCAAGACCCUUAAAUUUGAGAAUGUGGGUGAAGGAAAAUGACUGCUGGUGUCGAGUGGUGCCCAGAGCUGGGGGCUGAGGCAGCUUCCGUAAAUUCCCCUCCUGUUUAUCCCACUCCUUGUUUAUUUUGGGAGCCUGCUUGGCUUGUGGCUGUGAGAGGGGAUGUUAAAAAGGAGCUGCCAGGCUCAGUGAGGUUUUCCCAGCUGGCCCAUGGGGAGGACAAGCAGGAUAACAAGGGGAAAGGGGGAGCUGCAGGGAUCUGCACCUCCUGGUGCCCUGGGCACACCUUGGGCAGGGGGCUGCAGGGCAGGACAAGUCACAACCACUGCCUUGAAGGCUCAGCUAAAGGCAGAAGAUGAUGCCCUUCUUUUCCAGGCCACUGUGCCACUGGCAAAGAGUGAUUCCUGCUUUUUGAGCUUGGAAAGAGAAGAUGAAGCAGUGACUCAACGAGCCUGGGCACUCCAAAUAAUGCCAUCAGCACAAGGUUGGACUAUGCCCUGUUACUGUUCUCUCCGAUGUUUUGAAGUUCUAAGCAUGUGUCUGAGCACACACAGAGGAGCUCUUAUGAAAAAGACAUCUGUCACCAUUUCCUAAACUUAUAAGACAUGCAAUUCCUGCUUUCAAAAUUGUCAGGCAUCUGGCAGGGAAAAGAUCUGGCAAAGGCCAUGCUGUACUCUGCAGGAGGAAGUGAAACUACCUAAAUACUACAGGAUCAAAAAGCAAGUAAAUUGAGAGAGGUCACAUCACCCAUAUCAUAUUUGAUGUGGUAUCACAGAAACCCAGGAGUCUAAAUUUGCUUCAAGUACUCUUGAGUAAACAAGUUUGGGUUUGAUGUUAAGAAUGUUUAAUUAAUUCAAUUAAUCAUUUUACUAAAAAUGUUCCCGUCAAAGGUUUAGCAUUAAAUGGAAAAGUGUCUUCUCAAGAGAUUAGUUUCACAGAUCUGUCUUCAUGCUCUGUUACUUUCAUUACAUGAUUAUUGACAUUAUUAUAUUCAUUUGGUGUCUUUUCUUAGGGACAAAUCUCCCUAAUUUCCCACUUAAUUAAUUGUUUUUCAGGCAAUUGCAAUUGUGACUCUAACCUGCUCAAAUUCAUGAUUAGAAUGUCUGAACUUUGUGAUACAUUUAUCUGAUUUUCAAUUAUUUUAUAGAUUAAGACAUAAUUGAAAAAAAUAAUAGUUACUUUCAGAGAUGUUUUUCACCAUUUUGAUUGUCUUAGGCUUCUAGGGAAAGACCAGCAGAACAAGAGAAGAUUCUGCACCUCCCAAGAACACUCUCAAGUACCUGCAGAGCUGUUCUGAGCUACCAUCACCCACCAGCCUUGCUGAGCCUUGUCACCAGCAGAGCUCAAAGCAGCUGCUCUGAAACUUCCAGGGAAAUUCAGCCCAAAUCCUGUUUGCUUUGCCAGAACAAGUGAAGUGUAGAACAUAUUAAGUAGGCUUGUUUCAGCCUCUUAACAAGAUUAUGAGAAGGGGAAAGUUCAUUUGAGAAGUAAAGUGGACUGCAAGGCACAAAACGUUCAUUAUUUGUAAGGGGAGGUUGUUUUGUUUAAUGCAAAUGUGUCUGUAACUGUGUUUGAAACCUUUGGCUGAAUUAAUUAUCCUUUUAAAUCAUUCCAGAUAACAAAGCUCCAAACUAAGAACCCUUUUUGUACCAGAUAAAGCUGUGCCACCUUUCUCAGUUCUGUGAGCCAAUCCACUACCAAACCUGGAGCCAAGCACUGAAGCUGAAUAUGAAACUGGGAUAUACUCAGGAGCACCUGCAAGACUGCAGCCAAAGAAGGGAAGAGCACUUGGGAAGGCAUGAAAAAAAUAAGGAGAUAUACUGAGGGUCUAAAUUAUUGUAAUGGAUAGAGACAGGCACCUCCUGGAAAUGACAAUUCUCCAUAGGGUGCUGAACACGAGAGAUCUCCAGGGAGGGAGAUCAGUUUGAGGAGCUGGGAGUCUGAUACGUCAAAUCACACUGAGAAAAACAAAAGGAAACCCCACAGUUACCAAACCAAGCACACAUAGUUCCUCUCAGGCCACAACAUUGACACUUCACUGUAACAGAACACUUAAUCCUGUGAGUAAGGAUUAGCACUGCACAGGCCCUGUCCAGAGAGCUCGUUGCUAUAGAUUGUUCAAAAUUAAUUGAUUUCCUUGCAUCAGUGCUCUAUGAGAAUGAUUUGUUUUGCUCCAUGCACCUAAAUUUUGCUAGGAAAGUUUAGGUUGGACCAAUUAAACACAACUAAAUUGUGAUAACUUGGGGAAAGGUUUUCACUGGAACUGUGAUUUAAAGAACUUCUUUUUCUUUGCUAAUAAUGCAAAAUGUUUUGAUUAAGAAUACUGUUACUGACAACAUACAGGGCUUGUGAGGCCUUGAGGGAUGUCUUGGCUGUUCCAUGUGCCUUUAUCCUCACAGGAAAUGGGGAUACCUGGGUGAACUGUGUAGUCCAUAAAGUCUGCACAUAUCCCCACAACUUGUUCCCCUACACAGCCAGAUACUGGGGACUCAAGUCCUUCCUUCUCCCCUUAAAAUAAAAAAUGAGGGACAACAAAGAUUUCCAGUCACAAAAAUUAUGGGUUUAGUUUAACUGUUCCAACAAACCUGCAACAGAAAGCAACUGGUUGAAUGAGGAAAAGGUGUUUGUUUCCACCUAGCCCAAAGCCUGAUUCCAGAUCUGCCCUUGCUGUGUUGAGGUCCCUUGUCCCUUUUCCUGUCCUGGUUUAACCCCACCCAGCAGCCACUCACUCACCUCUCACCAGAGGAAUCAGAGAGAGGAUCAGAUAUGUAGAAGUGAGAAAAUUCAUGGGUUGAGACAAAGACAGUUCAACAAGAAAAGCAAAAGCUACCUGCACAAAUAAAGUAAAACAAGGAACUCUUUCACCACUCCCCAGAUGUUCAGCACCUCCAGAAGGGCAGGGCUCCAUCACACGUAUUUGGGAAGACAAAGCACCAUCACCCCAAACAUUUCUACCUUCCUCCUUCCCUCCCUUUUGUGUACUGAGCAUGAUGUCAGCUGGUCUGAAAUGUCCUUUGGUCAGCUGGGGUCACCUGUCCUGGCUGUGUCUCCUACCAGCUCCCCAAACACCCCCAAGUUCCUUCACCAGCCUGGCAGUAGGAAAAGCAGAAAAAGCCUUGGCUCUCUGCAAUCCCUGCUCAGCAACAACAAAAACAUUUCUGUGUUAUCACCCCUGUGUUCAGCACAAAUCCAAACCAGACCCAUUCAAGCCACUAGGAAUAAGAUUAACCCUACCCCAGGCAAAGAAAGAGGGUCCUGUUUUCCAAGAAGCUUUAAACACAAAUGAUUAAUCUUUAGAGAAAUCCAUAGCAUUUAUACGGGGGAAGAAAGAAAAUCACAUAAUUUAUGUGGUCAGUGUGUGUCUCUUCUUGCCUUCUCCCACUCCUGCUUUCUCCUCUUGUGUGUCCAAGCAACGCUUACUCUUAAUUAGUAUUGGCCUACUACUCCUUGUAGACCACAAUAUUUCUGAAGAGCUCCAAGACACCCAAAUAAUUACAUCUCCUCUGGUUAAGACUGAACUCAAAAUGCAACUUUUUCAAGUGUGUGGUUACCAUCCUUUUCAUUCAAGCAGCAGUUACUCACUACAACUCCUUGUACUUUACACCUGUGCUACACAGGACCUAGGAGCCCUGUGAGUGAGGCUUGUUAGGAGAAAAAACACCCAGACAUUUAACUGGGACACAAGAGGAUUGGAAACUGAGCCCUUGUGCCUGUACAGAAAACUGCAACCCCUCAGCAUGCUGCUCUCAGGGUUUGCCAUCAUUAAGUCACAGCCAGGAUGGCUCUUUGGAUUCCUGAGGCUGGAACUGGCAGGAAGGGUUUUAUUUGCUGCAGGAGAUGUAAGCUCUCCCAAGCAAACCUCACAAAUGAACCAUGCCCAGCCAUAUGCAGAGAAAGCAGCCUUUGGAGGGUGACAAUCUCUGGAGUGAGCUGGUAAUUGUGUCCCAUUGCCAGGGCAGACAUCACACGGGCAUGUUGUGCGCUCCUGCCUUCUUGGUUCUGAGCCAAACAACUGCUGGGAAAAGCAGGAUAACAACCACGGCCUGCUGGAGGCUGAGCUGGAGUCUGGUACAAGUGCCUGGCAGCCUGGACAUAUUAAAUGGGAAAAGAAGCCAUCACUAAGCUCCAAAGUGAGAAAACAAUUCCCAUAAGGCCUAGUAAAAGACGAAGAAAUUAAAGGUCUACCAGAACAAAUGAAUUAGAUAAUGAAACCCUGGAACUAGAUCAAAACCAGGAGGGGGAGGAGGGAGAAAGGAGCAGAACUGAGAUCAAAUAACAGCUGUGGGAUGCAAAUCAGACUGAAUAUCCUCAAGUCAGGCCCAGAAUGAGGCAGCAUCUGGCAGAAGGAGGGAGAAGGGCAGUGAGAAACCAGAAGAAAAGGAAUGCAGAGUUUGGGAAAGCUGGCUGGAUGACGUUGCACAGCAGAGUACCCUGCACAGACAGAGUCAGGCUCCAGUGCACCCAGCCCAGCUGGGAAGAGAAAAUCCAAACUUUCCACCAGAGGAGGAAGACAAGGAAGAGAAAGGCAAGGAAUUAAUGAGAUGUGAAUCAACAAGACAACAGCGGGAAACAAGGCUGGAUGUGCCCUUACUAUUCUGUGGGAUAAUAGUUACACCCCGAAGGAUCCAAGUUUUAUAAGGAAUUACAACAAACAUAGUGCACUGUAAAUAGGGACUGAUUUGCCUUAGAGAGUCAUAUUUCUGUUGCAGAGUCUUUAAGCCUGAUUCCUUUGCCAUUAGCCAGUUUAGGGUAAUUUCCAUUACCUGGUUUUCCAUUACCAUUUGCCAGUUUUGUGGGAAAGCAUCCAGGAUGUGUUGCACCAGAAGACAAUCAGAAGAGUCACAGGCCACAUGCUCAGGAAUAUUUACCAAAGAGAGAUGUGGUCCCAGUUUCUUGAAGAUACUCAGGUACCUCUUCAGGUGCAUCACAGAACCUCUUUCACAGGCUAGGCUUUCUAAAUCCCAUGAACAUUUUAGGAAAAUUAAGGCUGGGAGUGGGUAAAGACUUUUUAACCAGGAUUUUGGAAAGCAAACUACCUAAAUUCCAUUUAAAAUUCUGAUGCAAGGGUUUACUGAGAUGCCAAUAUGUUCUGACUUUCUAACAUUGGUAUGAUAGAUUGAACUUCUGCACUUCUGCAAGGAGUUAUCUGUGUGUCCAGGAUGAGCCUGAAUAAUGUUCAAACAGGAUUUCCUAACUCAGUGAAGCUAACAGCUGGCAUCAUCCUUCCCCUUUCUCUCUAAUUUCUCUCUGCCUAUUUUUGUCCAAAAUCAUCAGAAGAGUAGAAAAAGAUACGAGGAGAAAGAGAGACAUCCUGUCCUGUCACAGCAGAAAUGAGAUGAUUGGCCUGAAGUCACCAAUGAGAAACUGUUAUAGGGAAAAUUUUAAAAAAAUAAAAUUCAGAGUUUCUACCAAAUACAGGUUUGUUUUAUUUUGCUCCAUUGAACCCAUUAAUAUUUACCUGAAGUAUCAUAUUGUUUCUAUUCCUUGUUUCAAAUAAAGCUACUUAAUUGAUCAAAUAAACACUACUCAGAAAUGAAGGUGGAAUAUGAUUUUAUGUUUAAUGUUUGAAGUUUGUUCUUCCAUAGACUGAAAAUUGAAAGUUCCAGCCAAAGGGAUCAAAAGAAAAGAGAAAAAUGAAGCAGCUGGUGAAAGAGGACAAAGUCUCUGCU